Molecule: ribosomal RNA, 460 nt
Filed under: uncultured bacterium
Lineage: Bacteria
Description: partial 16S ribosomal RNA
Rfam family: Bacterial small subunit ribosomal RNA
Source: RNAcentral
CCUACGGGAGGCUGCAGUGAGGAAUAUUGGUCAAUGGGCGCGAGCCUGAACCAGCCAAGUAGCGUGAAGGAUGACUGCCCUACGGGUUGUAAACUUCUUUUAUAAAGGAAUAAAGUGAGGCACGUGUGCCUUUUUGUAUGUACUUUAUGAAUAAGGAUCGGCUAACUCCGUGCCAGCAGCCGCGGUAAUACGGAGGAUCCGAGCGUUAUCCGGAUUUAUUGGGUUUAAAGGGAGCGUAGAUGGCUGUUUAAGUCAGUAGUGAAAGGUGGGGGCUCAACCGUAAAAUUGCAAUGGAUACUGGAAGUCUUGAGUACAGUGGAGGUAGGUGGAAUUCGUGGUGUAGCGGUGAAAUGCUUAGAUAUCACGAAGAACUCCGAUUGCGAAGGCAGCUUACUAAACUGCCACUGACAUUGAUGCUCGAAAGUGUGGGUAGCAAACAGGAUUAGAGACCCGUGUAGUC